Canis lupus familiaris (dog) is the source of this 1257-nucleotide long non-coding RNA. RefSeq lists it as uncharacterized. The record is from RefSeq and is a predicted model, not a curated record. The transcript has 5 exons. NCBI's taxonomy places the organism in Eukaryota, Metazoa, Chordata, Mammalia, Carnivora, Canidae.
UAAAGGACCCAGGUCUUUUCCAUCUCUGUGCUCUGACAUCCCUGUUUGGGUUUUUAGGCUUCUAACGAGAUGGAUGCAGCGAUUCUGGGUGUCAUACCAGAAACAGCAAUAUCCAGGUGGAAAUAAGAGACCCCAGCUCUUGCUCAGAAGAAGGACACUUUCCCAAAGACUCCCUACCUACCCACACACUUCAUUUUGGCCAGCACUGAAUCCCACGCCUAAUGAUCUAUCAACUGAAAAAAAGAAUGGAUUCACCCUUAAACCAAACAAACCUUCUCCUGAGACACUUAGCUGUGUGAGAAAGAGGUGGCUACCUGAACAAAACUGAGGUCCUGGUUCUACUAGAAGAGGGAUAAAUGGAUGCUGGUUGAGCAACCAGUGAUGAUCACAACACCAGAUAAAUAGGAACCAAAGAAAAGUGGUUCCAGAACAGAGUUUGCCCUGGCUAAACAGCUGCUCUCUUUAUCCCUCGGGCUACCAAUGACAAAGAAGCCUGGACACAAGGGCUUGCUGAGAGCCUCCAAACCAGAAUGACCUCCCCAGGACCCUGAAUCUGCAAGAGCAACCUUUCUAAGUUUCACCUCCUGAAACUGAAUGACUUUGCAUCAUUCCCUGAAAGAGACCCCACAUUUGUGGGAUAACCAUUCUUCUCUGAUUCCAAACUGCUUCCAGAGCAAAUGUGCCCCAACAUGUCAUAUGAAGGAGGCUGCACAUUUUGACAUUUUGAUGUUAGUAUCAGCCUUAUUGAUGAAUAGUCCCAAGUUUGGAAGUAUUUUGAAAGCUGCCCUUGUCUGCCGCAGUAGGGAUGCGCAAACCUGAUUAGACUUUCAUAGUCCACAGUGAGCAUUAAUUUGUUCAGCGCUGUCUUCAGGUGGAACAUCUGCAUAAAUCUAGCUUUGUGAAUAUUUUUAAACUGAGAGAUUUUCCAUCUGUUUUGGAGUUAUAGCAGUCCACAUUAUCCUCACUUGAGCUCUUAAUGAUAUAUGUGUGAUGGAAACAAGACGUCUUAACGUACAUUCAUGGACACCAUGGAUCCCAGAGAGAAGCUGACAGAAACAGUCUGACCUCCAAUGUAUCAGUGAGGUCAACUGCUUGAUCUCUGGUGCCUAAGAUUAUUGCAGGGAAAUGUUUGAUGAGGAAAAGAAAGUAAUCAAAUUCCUGGAUGAGUUAUGCAAUAGGUCUGUUCCCCCCAAAACCUGUCAAUCUUUCAAAUAAACCCUUCUGAAUUUUGUGAUCUAUUUGUUGAGAUUGCUUUUC